CACGUAGGCGGCUUGGUAUGUCGGGUGUGAAAUCCCCGGGCUCAACCUGGGAACUGCAUCCGAAACUGCCUUGCUAGAGUAUGGGAGAGGGAAGUGGAAUUUCCGGUGUAGCGGUGAAAUGCGUAGAUAUCGGAAGGAACAUCAGUGGCGAAGGCGACUUCCUGGACCAAUACUGACGCUCAGGUGCGAAAGCGUGGGGAGCAAACAGGAUUAGAUACCCUGGUAGUCCACGCCCUAAACUAUGAGAACUGGAUGUCGGGAGGGUUUGCCUUCCGGUGUCGUAGCUAACGCGUUAAGUUCUCCGCCUGGGAAGUACGGCCGCAAGGUUGAA
This 331-nucleotide ribosomal RNA is filed under the name uncultured Pseudomonas sp. RNAcentral's name for it is "bacterial SSU rRNA". It matches the Rfam family "Bacterial small subunit ribosomal RNA", at positions 568 to 898 of the family's 1533-position model. Lineage: Bacteria; Pseudomonadati; Pseudomonadota; Gammaproteobacteria; Pseudomonadales; Pseudomonadaceae. The record is from RNAcentral.